RNAcentral lists this ribosomal RNA (573 nucleotides) under Triticum aestivum (bread wheat). Its description in RNAcentral is "partial small subunit ribosomal RNA". The record is from RNAcentral. Lineage: Eukaryota; Viridiplantae; Streptophyta; Magnoliopsida; Poales; Poaceae.
AUGAUUUUAGAGUGUUACAGAGAGAUAGUAUUGGGCUUCGAACAGAUGUGUUCAGGGCUGCACGAGGACGUUCAUUCAAUCAGGUCCAAGCAAGGGGAAAUCUCCUUGCAACUGGGCAGUGUGGAGAAAGCAGUACUAGAAUUGGGCAAGCAACUGUCUGCUAUGAACAUGGCGUUAAAAUCAAUUAUCGCACCAUCAAGUUCUGCAAAUCAAGGAAAAAGGCAGUCUGAACCUGAGACAUUGCUGAAAUCUCCAACACUUCAACAAGAUGAAGUACCUAGGCUGCAUAUCAGAACAGAUCAGCUCAGACAGCAACUAGAAGCAGAAAAGGAGAGAACUAGACAGCUGGAAGAGUUACAGAUGCAGAAUUUAGCACCCAUCAAAACUAGCAGAACUGUUGUUCCACCUGGUUUUAAUAAUCAGGUGCAUCAAGAUACUGCAAGUAUGUUGGGUACUCCUGUAGCACAUGGAAGGGGGGUGCAACACCUUAAUUCCAGCAACCAGCAAGAGACAGACAACUUUGGCAAGGUUACUUCAGAACUUAUGAGCAAGAUAUGCAGAUACAAUUUAUGA